This 401-nucleotide ribosomal RNA is filed under the name uncultured bacterium. RNAcentral describes it as "bacterial SSU rRNA". It matches the Rfam family "Bacterial small subunit ribosomal RNA", at positions 335 to 719 of the family's 1533-position model. The record is from RNAcentral.
ACUCCUACGGGAGGCAGCAGUGGGGAAUAUUGCACAAUGGGGGAAAACCCUGAUGCAGCCAUGCCGCGUGUGUGAAGAAGGCCUUCGGGUUGUAAAGCACUUUCAGUAGGGAGGAAGGUAGUGUAGUUAACACCUGCAUUAUUUGUACGUUACCUACAGAAGAAGCACCGGCUAACUCCGUGCCAGCAGCCGCGGUAAUACGGGAGGGUGCGAGCGUUAAUCGGAAUUACGUGGGCGUAAAGCGCAUGCAGGCGGCCUGUUAAGUCAGAUGUGAAACGCCCGGGGUCUUAACCUCGGAAUUGCUAUUUGAAACUGGCGAGGCUAGAGUCUUGUAGGAGGGGUUAGAAUUUCGAGGUGUAGCGGUGAAAUGCGUAGAGAUCUGAAGGAAUACCAGUGGCGAA